This is a long non-coding RNA of Panicum hallii, 1180 nucleotides long. RefSeq lists it as uncharacterized. The record is from RefSeq and is a predicted model, not a curated record. NCBI's taxonomy places the organism in Eukaryota, Viridiplantae, Streptophyta, Magnoliopsida, Poales, Poaceae. The transcript is spliced from 3 exons.
CUAAGUUCGAGUUCGAGCUAGAGUUCGAGGUACAUGUCAGCCUUCCUGUUUUGCCAAGUCGCUGAUGCCCCAAUCGUGAAACAAGAUCAAUGGAUCUUUCUCCAACGCCCUCCCAGGUCCUGAUUCCCAUCACAAAAUCGAGCUUUACCACCCCAAAGGCGGCUAGGGUUUGGAAGGAGUCCAUCCUCGAUCCAUAGCUUGUACAUUCCUCUUCUCUUUCCCUAUUAUCUUUGGCUUCUCUCGUUACUCAUCUCAGCCACACAAUGUCCCAAGAUAAUGUUCAGGCAUCCAAGUAGGUUUAUCAGAUUAUCGUGCUGGGAGACACCUAAUUAAUCAUUUUGAUCCAAGUCUAAAAGUUUUGAUCUUUUGAUCCAAGUCUGAAAGUUCAACACCUGAUGACCUUCUUCAUAGAAAUUAGUCAUACUAUGACAGCCUAAAAAUUGAUAAGAGAAAUUAAUAGUUCUACCUGGUGAUAGAGAUGAGUGGGAUGGAAAUGUACUGGUCAUCAUUCUUUGCAGGUCUAUCGUGAAAAGAAUAAGGCUAUCAAAUUUCAGAGGCAGAGCAUACAAAGAGUACUCUCUUCACACUGGAUUAAUGGACUUAGCCGCUAUAAAGAGGUUAUUGCUUUCUAAAAGACCAAGUGAUGACUACAUUGCUGGGGUACAGGGUUUUCUUCAGUUUGCAUACAGAGGGAAAAAAAUUAGGUGCAAAGAUUAGAUGUCCUUGUGUCAAGUGUGUCAACAUGUUGUUAAAAAAGCAACCUGUAGUGUAUGAUCACUUAGUAUGCCAUGGAAUGCUGCGUGGAUACACCAUAUGGGGUUGCCACGGGAAAACAGCAUCAUAUAUAUAUAUAUAUAUAUAUAUAUAUAUAUCAGCUAAUAAAGAUUCAGAAUCCCAGUGUAGUUCAAGAGUUUAAACCAUAACAUGCAUCAGGUAGUUCAAGAAGCUUUCAGAUAUGAUGAUAAUGGAAUUCUGUUAUCGCCAUAAUCUGGACGGGCCGGAAGUGGGCCAUGGAGCAAGAUGGGCUUGGAGGAUAACUAUAAUGGGCUUGCGAAUUGGACCUGGUGCGGAUGUUUUGGGGCCAGAGAGGCCGUGUAAAUAUAGAUAUAGGUAGUUAAGAUUCGUGUCGUGAUUGGUUAGGGUUGGUUAAGAAAGAUAAGUCUACGGACUAUAAAUAUGU